CAGAGUUUGAUCCUGGCUCAGGACGAACGCUGGCGGCGUGCUUAACACAUGCAAGUCGAGCGGUAAGGCCCUUCGGGGUACACGAGCGGCGAACGGGUGAGUAACACGUGAGUAACCUGCCCCCAACUCUGGGAUAAGCCGAGGAAACUCGGUCUAAUACCGGAUAUGACACGCUCCUGCAUGGGAGGGUGUGGAAAGUUUUUUCGGUUGGGGAUGGACUCGCGGCCUAUCAGCUUGUUGGUGAGGUAAUGGCUCACCAAGGCGAUAACGGGUAGCCGGCCUGAGAGGGCGACCGGCCACACUGGGACUGAGACACGGCCCAGACUCCUGCGGGAGGCAGCAGUGGGGAAUAUUGCGCAAUGGGCGAAAGCCUGACGCAGCGACGCCGCGUGGGGGAUGACGGCCUUCGGGUUGUAAACCUCUUUUACCACUCACGCAGGCUCCCAGUUUUCUGGGGGUUGACGGUAGGUGGGGAAUAAGGACCGGCUAACUACGUGCCAGCAGCCGCGGUAAUACGUAGGGUCCGAGCGUUGUCCGGAAUUAUUGGGCGUAAAGAGCUCGUAGGCGGCUAGUCGCGUCUGCUGUGAAAGACCGGGGCUUAACUCCGGUUCUGCAGUGGAUACGGGCUGGCUAGAGGUAGGUAGGGGAGACUGGAAUUCCUGGUGUAGCGGUGAAAUGCGCAGAUAUCAGGAGGAACACCGGUGGCGAAGGCGGGUCUCUGGGCCUUACCUGACGCUGAGGAGCGAAAGCAUGGGGAGCGAACAGGAUUAGAUACCCUGGUAGUCCAUGCCGUAAACGUUGGGCGCUAGGUGUGGGGACUUUCCACGGUCUCCGUGCCGUAGCUAACGCAUUAAGCGCCCCGCCUGGGGAGUACGGCCGCAAGGCUAAACUCAAAGGAAUUGACGGGGGCCCGCACAAGCGGCGGAGCAUGUUGCUUAAUUCGACGCAACGCGAAGAACCUUACCAAGGUUUGACAUCACCCAUGGACUCGUGGAGACACGGGGUCAUUUAGUUGGUGGGUGACAGGUGGUGCAUGGCUGUCGUCAGCUCGUGUCGUGAGAUGUUGGGUUAAGUCCCGCAACGAGCGCAACCCUUGUUCCAUGUUGCCAGCACGUAAUGGUGGGGACUCAUGGGAGACUGCCGGGGUCAACUCGGAGGAAGGUGGGGAUGACGUCAAGUCAUCAUGCCCCUUAUGUCUUGGGCUGCAAACAUGCUACAAUGGCCGGUACAGAGGGCGUGCGAUGUCGUAAGGCGGAGCGAAUCCCUAAAAGCCGGUCUCAGUUCGGAUUGGGGUCUGCAACUCGACCCCAUGAAGGUGGAGUCGCUAGUAAUCGCGGAUCAGCAACGCCGCGGUGAAUACGUUCCCGGGCCUUGUACACACCGCCCGUCACGUCACGAAAGUCGGCAACACCCGAAACUUGCGGCCCAACCCUUCGGGGAGGGAGUGAGUGAAGGUGGGGCUGGCGAUUGGGACGAAGUCGUAACAAGGUAGCCGUACCGGAAGGUGCGGCUGGAUCACCUCCU
This 1524-nucleotide ribosomal RNA is filed under the name Nocardiopsis ansamitocini. RNAcentral's name for it is "16S ribosomal RNA". It matches the Rfam family "Bacterial small subunit ribosomal RNA". The record is from RNAcentral. Lineage: Bacteria; Bacillati; Actinomycetota; Actinomycetes; Streptosporangiales; Nocardiopsidaceae.